CCACUUGAUGAUGAGGAAGUAGUCAGCCACAUCCUCACCGGACUUGAUGCCGACUACAAUCCAGUGGUGUGAGCCAUCCUCGCGCGUCCUGAACCAAUCACGGUGGGAGAGCUGUACACACAGCUUCUCACCUUCGAGC
This is a small nucleolar RNA of Panicum hallii, 139 nucleotides long. RefSeq annotates it as small nucleolar RNA Z247. Lineage: Eukaryota; Viridiplantae; Streptophyta; Magnoliopsida; Poales; Poaceae. The transcript has a single exon. The record is from RefSeq and is a predicted model, not a curated record.